RNAcentral lists this ribosomal RNA (811 nucleotides) under uncultured bacterium #0319-6L22. RNAcentral's name for it is "bacterial SSU rRNA". It matches the Rfam family "Bacterial small subunit ribosomal RNA", at positions 53 to 872 of the family's 1533-position model. Lineage: Bacteria; Bacillati; Actinomycetota; Actinomycetes. The record is from RNAcentral.
ACAUGCAAGUCGAACGAUGAUGCCCAGCUUGCUGGGUGGAUUAGUGGCGAACGGGUGAGUAAAAACGUGAGUAACCUGCCCUUAANUNUGGGAUAAGCCUGGGAAACUGGGUCUAAUACCGGAUAUGANUCCUCAUCGCAUGGUGGGGGGUGGAAAGCUUUUUGUGGUUUUGGAUGGACUCGCGGCCUAUCAGCUUGUUGGUGAGGUAAUGGCUUACCAAGGCGACGACGGGUAGCCGGCCUGAGAGGGUGACCGGCCACACUGGGACUGAGACACGGCCCAGACUCCUACGGGAGGCAGCAGUGGGGAAUAUUGCACAAUGGGCGCAAGCCUGAUGCAGCGACGCCGCGUGAGGGAUGACGGCCUUCGGGUUGUAAACCUCUUUCAGUAGGGAAGAAGCGAAAGUGACGGUACCGGCAGAAGAAGCGCCGGCUAAUUACGUGCCAGCAGCCGCGGUAAUACGUAGGGCGCAAGCGUUAUCCGGAAUUAUUGGGCGUAGAGAGNUNGUAGGCGGUUUGUCGCGUCUNCCGUGAAAGUCCGGGGNUCAACUCCGNAUCUGCGGUGGGUACGGGCAGACUAGAGUGAUGUAGGGGAGACUGGAAUUCCUGGUGUAGCGGUGAAAUGCGCAGAUAUCAGGAGGAACACCGAUGGCGAAGGCAGNUCUCUGGGCAUUAACUGACGCUGAGGAGCGAAAGCAUGGGGAGCGAACAGGAUUAGAUACCCCUGGUAGUCCAUGCCCGUAAACGUUGGGCACUAGGUGUGGGAGACAUUCCACGUUUUCCGCGCCGUAGCUAACGCAUUAAUGCCCCGG